Long non-coding RNA from Paramisgurnus dabryanus, 2324 nucleotides. RefSeq lists it as uncharacterized. NCBI's taxonomy places the organism in Eukaryota, Metazoa, Chordata, Actinopteri, Cypriniformes, Cobitidae. The record is from RefSeq and is a predicted model, not a curated record.
CAGAAGGUAUUUUCGCUAAUGUUUUAAUUUGUUUGCUAACCUGUAUGAGUGCAGUCAUGUCUACAAAAUAUAUAAGAAUAUUUGCCGUCUUAAAUGAGAUAAUAAUAGGUUGGUAUCCCCCGUUUAUAAUUCAAAACUGCUUUGCAUACUGAAGCCGUGCCGUUUAAAGUUUGCCGUUGUCAUGACAUUUUGCGAUACUACAAGGUCUAUAUUUGUACCUUUUUCUAGUUAACAGUAAUACCAGCUGUGAAUAAUAUGAUGCUAAGUUAUCGAAUGUGCAAUUGAGAAAUAUGUCAUAUGAGUUUAACCCACGAAAUUAAACACACAAAUAAGAUAGACUAUAAACAACAUUCAAUGACUUGUUCGCUUUUAUAGAUGGAUAUAUAACGUUUUUUAAAUGCUGGAAAGGAGAGCAAACAGGUGGAGAAAGAGUUAGAGAGACUGAAGAGGUCAGAGACAGGUGCAUUUAUAGUCCAUCAUGACAUAAAAAAUCCUCUGCAUGCAACCACGAGGAGAGGGGGAAUUUACUAAGGAGUUUUGUCUAUAUAUUAUAUAAAAUCUACUGUUGGGAAGAGCAGAACCUAAUCCAAAUAAAAAUAAACAAGCUGUUAAAAGCCAGUUGAAGGUGGUCAACACAAACCAAAUGAAGAUGUUGCACAUUUCACAAACAAUAAAAAAGAAGAUCAAGUUUUGUGUCCAACACACUUGGAUGAGACGUGCCCGACCCCUGACUUUGUCUACCCUACAUUAAGUUGUGAUGGCACACUUCAUGACAGUAAACAUCGGUAUCAAGAUGAUGUGAUUGAUCUAUACCCUAGAAUAAGCUGUGACACUAUGAGACGGUGACAUAAUGAACAGCCAUCUUCCAGACAACCGAAACAGUAUUGUCUACAAUACCAAAUUCUGGAUUGACGCCCCAGUACCAGAAGGCACUCCAAUCCCAGAGAGCAUCCCAUUGUGAGGUAACACAACGAAAAAAUAACAGGAUGGAGACUACCUGAUUCUUCACCUAUGGCCUUAGCUUCAAAUGCAAGAAGUCCAGCAACUGUCUGAGCUGGUGGAUAUUCUAUCAGAGACUGCAUGAACAACGUUAUGAACAGAAUGAUGUCUAAUUGUCUUAUGGCAAAGUUCAAUAUGAGGGGUGGUGGACAUCUGGAAAAUAAGUCUUUUAAAGGCACACCUUUGUAUUAUGUUAUUCAAGAUGCUGUGAGGAGGUGGAGCCCAAAAGCCACGGACUCGGAAAUCGAUGCAGCUAUGGCAGACCACCUCAAGCACGCUCCAGGAAGAGAGCUAGGGGUUGUGAAUACAAAAAAUAAGCCAAACAGAUGUAAUGUGUUAGAGAUAGUUCACACAAAAAUGAAAAUUGUUAUAAUUUUCUUACCCACGUGUUUCAAACCUGUAUACAUUUCUAUUUUUUGCUGAACACAAAGAUUGAAUAAUGUUUGUAACCAAGCAUUUCUCACAACCCAUUAACUGUCAUAAUCAUUUUUUUUACAAUUGUAGUAAUGGGUUGUGAGAUCUGCUUUUUUAAAAACAUUCUUUCAAAUAUCUUUGUGUUCCGCAGAACAUAGAAAGGUAUACAGGUUUGAAACAUGAGAGGGAGUAAAUGACUAAAUAUUCAUUUUUGGGUGAACUAUCCCUUUAUAUAAUAAAGUAUUUUGAAAUUGUUAUUAUAGUUAAAAAAAUAAAAGUCUUAAAUCAGAACAUGCUUCUUUUUUGCUCAUGUCCACAAAUAAUGUGUUCUUUAAUGUGUUUAAUGCCUAAAGACCUACACCAAGCAACAAGUGCUAUGGUUGUUAGCUUAUAUACAUUCUGAAAAUUUCAUGUGUACUUUAUGUGAAUGGAGGCCUAUGAUUAUUGCUUCUGACUGUAGGGUAAUUAAAUAUAAGGUAGCCUAAACACAUGAAAGACUAAACAUCACAUAGGCCAUAAAUCCCAAAAAUAAGGCAUAGCUGGCAUUGAUCUGGUACGCGGAUCUGUGCCGCAUCUCUAUGCGGGACUGGGCCAGCUCUGUUCCAUUUCCAGUUCAGAUUCGUGAAACUGAUCCUGACCACUUCUUGGCCGAUGUGCGUUUGGACACUGGACCGUGUUAGUUAAACGGAUCUGAUGCGGAUGGAACGGUAUGUGUGGGCCAGCUCCACCCCAGUGUUGUUUUACUGUUUUGGUACGAGAGUGGGCCAGGGCUGACCCAUCUCUGGUGCAGAGCCAUGAAACAAAUCCUGAUCACUUUUGGCCCGUUGUGCAUUUGGACACUGGACCAUGUCCGUGAGAUGGAUCCGGGGUGGAUCGCAUGGUAGGUGUGGGCCAGAACCACCCCAGUGUGG